Molecule: long non-coding RNA, 283 nt
Filed under: Cucumis sativus (cucumber)
Lineage: Eukaryota; Viridiplantae; Streptophyta; Magnoliopsida; Cucurbitales; Cucurbitaceae
Description: long non-coding RNA (CSAT_LNC002127)
Source: RNAcentral
UUAAUAAGGUCGAAUGAGCAUGACUGCAAAAUAGAAGAGACUGCUAGAAAAAUGGAAGAAAGUGUUGGAAGAAUAGAAGAAAAUGCAUGACAAAUAAAGAGAUGAGGAAGAUGAUUGAGGAAAUGAGUUGGCCACAGAGAGGACCGUGAACACUUGGGGUACGUAUUUUUCAACUUUUAAUUUGUUUAUUUUUUCAUCUGUGAUAUAUAUCUAACUUUACUUUUAUGUCAUUUGUAGGUUUGGAAUUUUUUAUAUCUCGCGUUCGCAACUAUGUUUUAGGUGA